AAAUGUAAGAGAGAGUGCCCUUGGGUUUCCGGGCCGAGAAAGCAUAGGAAAACGCUGCGUUUUGGCCAAGUCAGGUGAAGAAGCUACGCUGUCUACCUCGCCUCGCGUGCGUGGCUUCUUCUAAUUUCUCCUCUCGUCUUCACCUUCUUCUUCCUCUUCCUUCUUCUCCUCUGCGUUAGGUUUUUCCAUUCUCACACUUCACAUCGUUUUUUUCCCUCUUCUCAUUCUUCUUCUCCACUCUCACUCUCUUCUCCCAAGCCUCUAUUUCUCUCAUCCAUUUGCGAUUUAUGCAAUUCCUCGCGCGAUAAGAUACUUUUCGUGCUUGCGUUUUGAUUUCCGCGAUGGCCUCCAAAGGUCCCAGGUCUAAGAUUGAUCAUGAGAGCAGAGCCAAACGGCAAAAGGCUCUUGAAGCUCCAAGGGAGCCUCGCAGACCGAAAACUCAUUGGGACCAUGUCUUAGAAGAAAUGGUGUGGUUAUCAAAGGAUUUUGAAUCAGAGAGGAAAUGGAAAUUAGCUCAGGCAAAGAAAGUAGCUUUAAGAGCCAGCAAAGGCAUGAUAGAUCAGGCUACAAGGGGUGAAAAGAAGAUGAAGGAAGAAGAACAGCGAUUAAGAAAGGUUGCACUAAAUAUUUCUAAGGAUGUUAAGAAAUUCUGGACAAAAAUAGAAAAGCUGGUUCUUUACAAACAUCAAAUGGAACUUGAUGAAAAGAAGAAAAAGGCACUUGACAAACAGCUUGAGUUUUUAUUAGGGCAAACAGAGAGGUACUCAACAAUGCUGGCGGAAAAUCUUGUGGAUGCUCAUAAAUCAGGAGAGAAUAAUUCUGCAGAGCAUCACAUGAGUAUUCAACGCAAAGAUGCGCAUGGAGAUGUUAUUAAUGAACCUAAAGAAGCUGAUGUUGUGGAGUAUCAAUCAGAUGCUGCCGACAAUGAUGAUGAAUAUGAUGUACAAUCUGAUGAUGAAUCGGAGGACGACGAGCAAACAAUUGAGCAAGAUGAGGCUUUGAUUACUAAAGAAGAGAGACAAGAGGAAUUGGAAGCUUUGCAAAAUGAAAUGAAUCUUCCGAUUGAGGAGUUACUCAAGCGUUAUGCAGGGGAGAAAGGAGAAUCUAUGAUGAAAGAAAGUAGUCCAGAGCAUAGUGAAGAUGUUGAGAAAAUAGUAGGAACAACUGGUGAUGGUAAGAAAAUAUUACCAUCAGAAAAUGGUGAUGAUCAUUUAUCUGUUAGCAAAAAUGGUACAAACAACUCCAGUAUGGUCUCUGGUCGACGUUGUGAUGAAAGUGAUGGUGAUAUGGCUACACCAACAAAAAAUCUAUCUCAAUAUGAGGAAGGUCAAUCUGAAAAUCUAAAAGAGGUUCCCAGUGAGACAGCCAAUGAAGAUUUUUCGUAUGAUUUUACUGAUGAAGAGGAAGAUGGUGACUUUUUGCUUGGCACAGAAGACAAGGAUGAUGAAACAACCUUAUCAGAGGAGGAAAAACUGGAAAGAGUUGAUGCAAUAGAUCCCAAGGAUGAGAUUGCAUUAUUACAAAAAGAGAGUGACAUGCCUGUUGAGGAACUGCUUGCAAGGUAUAAAAGGGACCCGAGUGACAACGAAGAUGGGGGAUAUGAAACUGAUUAUGCUUCUGCUUUAUCCGAAGACCAUUCAGACUCUCCUGUCCAUGAAGAUGCUGAGCAAAAGGAUUCUGCCAUUCCUAUGGAUGAAGAUAUAAAGUCUGGUGAACACCUGGCUACCACACAGUCCCAGACAGAAGAACAUUGGGAAUCACCUCAUGAAAAUUUGGAUCAAAGAGAAAGUGAGCAUAUAAUUGCUGAUGCAGCUGCUGCUGCAAGAUCAGCACAACCUACUGGAAACACCUUCUCCACAACUAAUGUGCGUACAAAGUUCCCUUUUCUUCUCAAGUACUCUCUUCGUGAGUAUCAACAUAUUGGAUUGGAUUGGCUUGUCACCAUGUAUGAAAAAAGACUGAAUGGAAUUUUGGCAGAUGAAAUGGGUCUUGGAAAAACAAUUAUGACUAUAUCUUUGCUUGCACAUCUUGCUUGUGAAAAGGGGAUUUGGGGUCCGCAUUUAAUUGUGGUACCAACUAGUGUAAUGCUUAACUGGGAGACCGAAUUUUUGAAAUGGUGUCCUGCCUUUAAAAUAUUGACUUAUUUUGGAAGUGCCAAGGAGCGAAAAUUUAAAAGGCAAGGAUGGUUGAAACCAAACUCAUUUCAUAUAUGCAUAACUACUUAUAGAUUAGUUAUUCAGGACUCCAAAGUUUUCAAGCGCAAAAAGUGGAAAUAUCUGAUCUUAGAUGAAGCUCAUCUCAUUAAAAACUGGAAGUCACAAAGGUGGCAGACACUCUUGAAUUUCAAUUCAAAAAGGCGGAUUCUCUUGACUGGGACACCACUACAGAACGAUCUCAUGGAACUGUGGUCUCUCAUGCAUUUCUUAAUGCCCCAUGUUUUCCAGUCACAUCAAGAGUUUAAGGAUUGGUUUAGUAAUCCUAUAUCAGGGAUGGUAGAGGGAGAAGAAAAAAUUAAUAAGGAGGUUGUUGACCGCCUGCACAAUGUCCUUCGUCCCUUUUUACUCCGUCGACUAAAGAGAGAUGUGGAAAAACAACUUCCAAUGAAGCAUGAACAUGUCAUAUAUUGUAGACUAUCAAAGAGGCAGCGGAAUUUGUAUGAGGAUUUCAUUGCUAGCUCAGAGACUCAAGCAACUCUUGCAAGUGCCAAUUUUUUUGGGAUGAUUAGUAUUAUCAUGCAACUUCGUAAAGUUUGCAAUCAUCCUGAUCUAUUUGAGGGUCGUCCUAUUGUCAGUUCGUUUGAUAUAUGUGGUAUUGAUGUUCAGUUAAGUUCUUCUGUUUGCUCUAUGCUUUUGCCUAGCCCCUUUUCAGUGGUGGACCUAAGAGGUUUGGGUCUUUUAUUUACUGAUCUUGACUAUAGUAUGACUGCAUGGGAAAGUGAUGAAGUUGGAGCUAUUGAGACCCCUGGAACCUCAAUCAUGGAGCGUACUGAUAUAGAUGAGCUAGAAGUAAUUAGGCCACUAAAUUGUCAAAAAAGGUUGCAAGGAACAAACAUUUUUGAAGACAUCCAAAGGAAAAUCUGGGAAGAGAGGCUAAAACAGGCAAAGGAACGUGCAACAGCUAUUGCAUGGUGGAACUCCUUGAGAUGUAAAAAGAGACCUAUGUACUCAACAACUCUGAGGAAUCUUGUUACCUUAAGGCAUCCUGUAUAUGACAUUCAUCUGGUGAAAGCAAAUCCUACUUCAUAUAUGUACUCAACAAAGCUGGCUGACAUUGUUCUCUCCCCCAUUGAACGAUUUCAAAAGAUGACUGAUGUGGUUGAAAGCUUCAUGUUUGCAAUUCCAGCUGCACGGGCACCCUCUCCUGUUUGCUGGUGCAGUAAAAGCGAGACAAAUGUGUUUCUGCAGCCAUCUUACAAGCAGAAAUGCUCUGAAGUUUUGUUGCCGCUACUGUCACCAAUCCGACCAGCAAUUGUUCGCCGACAAGUGUAUUUCCCUGAUAGGCGUCUUAUACAAUUUGACUGUGGGAAACUGCAGGAACUGGCAAAUUUGUUGAGAAAAUUAAAAUCAGAAGGCCACCGAGCUCUGAUAUUCACCCAGAUGACAAAGAUGCUUGACAUAUUAGAGGCAUUCAUUAACUUAUAUGGCUAUACAUACAUGCGCUUAGAUGGAUCAACCCAACCAGAGGAGAGACAGACCUUAAUGCAACGCUUUAACACAAACCCCAAAUAUUUUCUUUUCAUCUUGUCAACCCGUAGUGGUGGUGUUGGUAUCAAUCUAGUUGGAGCUGACACAGUUAUUUUUUAUGAUAGUGACUGGAAUCCUGCUAUGGAUCAACAGGCACAAGAUCGAUGCCAUAGAAUUGGUCAGACACGUGAAGUUCAUAUUUAUAGAUUGAUAAGUGAAAGCACCAUUGAGGAGAAUAUUUUGAAGAAAGCAAAUCAGAAGCGUGCACUUGAUAAUCUAGUUAUACAAAGUGGGAGUUAUAAUACUGAGUUCUUCAAGAAGCUUGAUCCUAUGGAACUAUUUUCAGGCCAUAGAACACUUUCAAUAAAAAAUAUGCUGAAGGAGAAAAACCAGAACAAUGGGGAAGUUUCUGUAACGAAUGCAGAUGUAGAGGCUGCACUGAAAUGUGUUGAAGAUGAGGCAGAUUACAUGGCUUUGAAGAAAGUUGAACUGGAAGAGGCUGUGGACAACCAGGAGUUUACCGAAGAAGCCAUUGGGAGACUUGAAGAGGAUGAAUAUGUAAAUGAAGAUGAUGAAACUGCAGAAUUAGGUGAAUCUGUUUCAAACUUAAAUAAAGAGAAUGCCUUGGUGUUAAAUGGAAGUGAUCAGAAGGAAGAUAGACCACCAAACUCUGUUGUUGUCAAAGAAGAUGAUGCUGAUGUGCUGGCUGAUGUCAAACAGAUGGCUGCAGCUGCAGCUGCAGCUGGACAAGCUAUCUCAGCAUUUGAAAAUGAGCUACGCCCUAUUGAUCGAUAUGCCAUUCGCUUUCUGGAACUGUGGGAUCCAAUUAUAGAUAAAACAGCUUUGGAAUCUGAAGUCAGGAUUGAGGACACGGAAUGGGAGUUGGAUCGGAUUGAAAAGUACAAGGAGGAGAUGGAGGCUGAAAUUGAUGAAGACGAGGAACCUCUUGUAUAUGAAAGCUGGGAUGCUGAUUUUGCAACAAUGGCAUAUCGACAGCAAGUAGAGGCCUUGGCUCAACAUCAGUUGAUGGAGGAACUUGAAUAUGAAGCUAGACUGAAAGAAGCUGAGGAAGAAGCUUGUGAUUCUAAAAAGACAACACCAGGGGAUUUGAAGCCCAAACCUAAAAAGAAACCUAAGAAGGCAAAGUUCAAAUCUCUAAAGAAAGGAUCUUUAACUUCUGGGUUGAAACCUGUGAAAGAAGAGUCACAAGCAGAGCCAAUGAACAUUGAUGAUGAGGAUAUCACUGGUCUGGAAUUUGUGUCUCCAAAUUCAUCCAUGCAGAAAAAACGUAAAUCUAAAGCAACGACUGAUGGUGAAGAAAAGAGACUUAAGAAGUCCAAAAAGUCCAAGAGGGAUCCUCCUGACAUUUAUGCGUCUGAUUUAGAAUCCAAUGCUUUGGUUGUGCAAUAUGAACAUGCAGAAUCAAAGACUAGUGAAAGUCUGGUUGAUUUGGAACAGAAAACAGCAGGCAGGGGUAAGAUGGGAGGAAAAAUAUCCAUCACUCCUAUGCCUGUAAAACGGAUCUGGACGAUAAAGCCAGAAAAAAUGAGAAAGGGAAAUCAUUGGUCCAAAGAUUGUAUUCCAUCAGCUGAUUUUUGGCUGGCUCAGGAGGAUGCUAUAUUAUGCGCUGUUGUUCAUGAAUAUGGUCCUAACUGGAGUUUGGUUAGUGAUAUUCUUAAUAGCAUGACUGCUGGUGGGUCAUACAGGGGGAGAUAUCGACAUCCUGUCCAUUGCUGUGAGCGGUUUAGAGAACUAUUCCAGAAGAAUGUAUUGUCAAUGGACAAUGCAAAUAAUGAGAAGGCCAUCACUCCUGGCUCUGGAAAGGCUCUUCUUAAAGUUACAGAGGAUAACAUACGGAUGCUGUUAGAUGUUGCUUCUGAGCAGGCAAAUAGGGAGUUGCUGCUGCAGAAGCACUUUUUUGCAUUGCUUUCAUCUGCCUGGAAGGUGGCAUCACAUGUCGACCGCAGGCAAAAUCCAUCACCCACCUGUAAUGGUCUCUAUUUUGAUCAGGGUCUUUUUACUUCCAUAGGCCAGCCUUCCCAAAAUUCCUUGAAGAAAUCCUCUGAAAGGGUGCCAUUUGCAAAUCUGGUCCAGAGUAAGAAGUUAGUAGCAGCUGCACUUGAUGAUUCCACAACUGGGCAAGUGAAUGAUAGAGUCAUCCUCCCUAACCAAGGGGAAGGCUUGCCAGUGAGUGCUGAUAGGUUGGAUAUUACUCUGGAAUUCCCAAAAGAGGAGAGUGAUGUCUUAGCUUUAUUUCCAUCCGUUAUAAACUUAUCAAUACAUGGGACUGAUCCAACACCAUCUUUAAGUAAGCAAACAGGAGAAGAUGGCUUUAAAAUUGGUCUGUUUAUGGCAGAGAAUCGUUUCAGGGAGGCAACAAGAAUUUGUGAAGAAGACGUCUCUGGAUGGGCAUCAUCUGCAUUCCCAACCAGCGAUGCAAGGUCUCGACCUGGAUCCAGGAUACAAUCCUCUGGAAAGCAGAAGUCUUCCAUAUCUGACUCUGCUAAGCCUUCUAGGUCAAAGUCUAAAAGAGCUUCAAUUGAUGUCAGUGAAAUGCAUCACCAUCAGGCUGACUCAAUAGUCCAGUCGGUGCCAUCACUUAAGGAUCUGAGAUUUGAUCUCACUUCAUUCACUACAGAUGAAAUUGGACUUACUGCUGUGGACACAUGUUUCCCCUUUGACUUGAAUGUGGAAAGUUCAUGGGAAAUGGAGGGUGUUGGAAUGAUCCCACAUGAUUAUGUUACUGGUUUAAUCUCAGACCUUGAUGAUUGUACAACAUUCCCUGAAUAUACUGACAUUAGAUAAGUGGAUCAAAUCAAGCCUGAAAUGCAGUUUUGAAUGACCUUUGGCGGACAGUGGCAUACUACUGGCAGGUUAGUCUUGAUCAGUUAAUGAAUUGCCGUUGGCUUACAAUCGAAUUGGAACGAUGCGUUUACAAUUCUCUCGUAGGCAUGCCAUUUCCGAUAUACAGACAAACAGUUCAGGGACAAGCAUGCUGAAGGUUUCCAAAUGAAAAACAUGGAGAUGUAGAAUGCACAAUAAUUUAAUUUCUUACUCGGAAUUAUGUAUUGGCUUGGGGAUUCAGCUCAAAUUUGACAGCGUCAAUCUCCCAUAGAUCGGUACUCAUGGAACGAUGUUAAGUGAUUCUAAGAUCCCAAUGUGCAAUCCAAGUUGACCAAUCAGAGUUUCAAACCAAAUGUUUCGCUUAUUAUGUGAUGACUCACGUGACGACCUGAAUUUGUUGGAACCAUUCUCUAAUGCAAACAGUAUUUUUUUGAACAGCAACCAGUCGAGAGUCUAUGUAAUUCAUUGUUCACACUGGAGAAAUCUGAUUGUUUCAUAUCAUAGCAACCAAGUUAGCUUAAUACCAGUCUUACGAUAGUUUAGUGCUUUACAUUUUAUAAUUUGAGCAACUCCACUUUUUCUGUAACCAAAAAAUAUCAUCAAAUAGGUCCCGCGAGUCACGCCACAUUUAUUUCUCAUCAAUCUUUGUCUUUAUUUUUAAAUUUUGUAUAAUCUUUAUAUGCAACGAAGCUCAUGCAAUGAUCGAUACGCUUGAAUCAA
Vigna angularis (adzuki bean) is the source of this 7247-nucleotide RNA transcript. It is a transcript of the gene named protein PHOTOPERIOD-INDEPENDENT EARLY FLOWERING 1, with no coding region annotated. The transcript is spliced from 22 exons. Lineage: Eukaryota; Viridiplantae; Streptophyta; Magnoliopsida; Fabales; Fabaceae. The record is from RefSeq and is a predicted model, not a curated record.